UUAGCGCACGGACCCUCAAAGCUUGGACGGCGCCGUUUUUGAACAUAGAAUUUAAAACCCUUUUUUUCCAUUUUUUUUCCAAAUGCUGCCAACCAAAGAACCACAGCCCCAAAAUUGAAAUUGCUAGUGGUCUUAACGUCCGCCGGAUUCACCAUUUCAUUUGGCAAUCGACGGUAUGCCCCAAUGAACAGAUCCAUGUCACGCCCAUGAAAAUAUGGAUCAUCCGUACGGAGGAGCAGGGAGAGGCACACGUGAAAGGAGCCAUACGAGGAAACUGUUCGUGAGACCCAACCCCCUGGCACUGUUCUGGCAUGUUCCAGAAGCUUCUGGUGCUUGGCUGCUGGGAUUCCUUUUGAGUUUGGGCUGUUCGGGCUAGGGAUUUUAGUAUAGCCCUCUUGGACUAUGUGAUUGGGUUAGGUUUGUAUUAAGGGGUUAAGGUUUAAGUUAUUUUUUGGUCCAAAUAUUUGUAACUGGGCACUGGAAUUUGGAUUUUUAUUUGUGUGUUUUUUUUAUUUUUGUUUUA
Molecule: long non-coding RNA, 523 nt
Organism: Gossypium arboreum
Lineage: Eukaryota; Viridiplantae; Streptophyta; Magnoliopsida; Malvales; Malvaceae
Exons: 2
Source: RefSeq, a predicted model, not a curated record